CUCCUUUAUUGUAAAUGGGGAGGUCUCGCUCCAGGUGCUAACCCGCUCCCCGCGAAACGACGUGACCACAUUUUCACGUGUGUCGGGUAGUUCAAUUAUUUCAACAAUAUCAUCGCGUUUUGUAAUUCCAAACCCAACGAAGCGACGCACAAAGUAAGAAUUUCUUCAUUUGUACUUUCGCCAGAGGAGGAGGGCAGACACAUAGAAUGAGGUUGUUGAAGAAGAAGAAAAAGAAGCUUCCAGAUAAUCUCUGCUCCUAUGAUGCUGCUUGGCCUGCUGUGUUCAUCCAGCCCUGCACCUUGUUGUCUCGGAUUCUCCAGCAUCUGCAGUUCCUACUAUCUCAGCUUCCAGAUAAUGUUUGGCAACCUGCAAUAUGUUUCACCAAUCUUUCACUCCAUUGAUAUGGGAAACCAGACAUGACAUCAAACAGUCUGCAGCAAUUAUUAAAUGCCUCAUUUGAAACAUGAUGUCAGAAGUGUGAAGCUGAAAUUGAGUGAAUUCUCAGAGCUGGAGGCUACUGUAAGGAAAACAACGAGGAAGAAUUAAAACUACAAUCAGCAACCUUGAAUUACAGAGUCAAUCUGUAUGGUCAUGGACUUUCCACUCCCUGCUGCUAUGAAAAUAAAAAAAAGUUACACAUUAAAUAGAAUUGAACUUUCUUUCACUCUGUGCUAAAACUGUGAAAUAGCUUUGAAAUUUAGUAAAAUGACUAAGCAAGUAAGAGUGGCAACCCUGUUAUCAGUAUUUGAGAAUGUAUUGUACAAGUUAUAUUGCAGCCUGGAUCUCACUGAGAAGGCAACUGCAGAAUUGUAUAUGGCUUUUAAGAUGCACUUUGAACCCCAUAUUAUUGUCACUUAUGAAUGAUAUGUGUUCAACAUCAGAGCUCAGAACUAAAUCUUGACAAGGUGAAUGCUGUAGCAAAGAUUCAUUGAGCAAGUGAUAUGAAAGUAUUGCAAUGAUUUGUUGUAUUGUUGAACUUAGCAAAUAUUUUGCUUCAUUUGUCAUCAGUGUGAACAUCUAUUGAAGCUCACUGCUAAAUGUGUGCAGUGAUAUUGGGGAACAGAGCUAGAAGCAGCUUUCACAUGAAUCAAGAAACCAGUAGUAAUGGCUCAAUAUGCUCUUGACCUCUUUAACCCAGCAGAGACAUUGAAUCUGAAAGACAGGCAUCUGAUCAAACACUCACUAUGGGAAUGGCAUUGCCUGGGGCAGGAAUAUCACUUCAGGAAUAAGUAGAUACCAGAAAAACUCACGACAACUCACUUGCAUGUUAUUAAAAGACCUGAACACUUUAGAAGUAAUGGGGAAAUGCAUGUGCCAAGACUGAUGAAAAUGAUACAAAGUGGAAUUAUCACAGUUUUGUUCAGGAUUGAUUCUUCUUUUUUCAACAUGUAUAUAUUGGGUACAUAAACAGGAGUUGCUGGCAAAACUCAGCAGGUCUGGUACCAUCUGUGUGGAGAAAGCAGAGUUUACAUUUAAAUCCAGUGACUUUUCAUCAGAAUUGAUUGCAGCUAGGAAAAUGUGAUAUUUGUGCUGAAGACAUGAUAGGGGGCAAAGACAGAGACCAGAGAGAGAAGUGAUGAUGAGGGCUGAGCAUAGGAGAGAAUGGAUGAACUGUGCUGAACCCAACUCAUGUCAUGACAGGACCAGGGUGCGGGUGGGUUAAAAAAAACAAAGGAAGGAUGGAAUCAGGCUCUCAAGUUAUUGAACUCGAUGUUGAAUCUGAGAGGUUGCAGGGUCCCUCGGUGGAAAAUGAGAUGAGCUAUUUCUGCUGAAGCAUUUUGUCCUCCUCAUCCUUUAUGCAGCAGCUGGUCAUGCUUUGUGUUACUCCUGUACAUCCACUCUGACAUGGCAUAGACUGAGAUAUGCAAAUAAUCCUGAGAAACACAUGCUUGCACAGAGUCCUUGAAGUCAGAACCAAGUUCCACAGCACAAGCUACACUGCUUUCUAAAGACUUCAGCAACUUUAAACCACAUCAACCAUUACAUAAUUGCAGGGUAUAAAUUCAAUAAACAACUAACCUGAAAGCAGUCGAUUAUUCACUUAAUGAGUGCUAUGGUGAGGGGUCCUUUCUACCGCUGAAUACGUGGUCCGUUAUGUGAGGUUAGGAGUGAGCAUUAGUAGGAGUUCUGAGCUCCAAAUGACAACAGUGGCAUCAAACCAGCGUAGCCCAUUUGUCAAUCAAACAUAAGUAGUCAAAUUGCCUCUACCUGCGUGCAUGCUAACAGUGUUGCCUGUUAUUUUCUAAUCAACCAGCUCAGAGUUGUUAUUAUACACUCUGGAUCAGGUGGAACUUAAACCUCGACCUCCUGGCUCCAAAGUAGAGACACUACCAUUGUAUCACAAGAGCCCUCUAACAGUGUCACCAAAAUUAUGCCCUGUAAUGAUAGCACUUGAUUUUUGCAUGUGCUUCCAUUUUAGAGUCAAUCAGCUCUCAUAGCACUGAAAGACCAGGCACAAUGGAGCCAGAUUUUCCAACUUACAUUUUACAUUAAAGUCAACUUUAAGAUUAAUUACUCAAAUCCACUUUCAGUUAACGG
This is a long non-coding RNA of Rhincodon typus (whale shark), 2538 nucleotides long. RefSeq lists it as uncharacterized. The record is from RefSeq and is a predicted model, not a curated record. NCBI's taxonomy places the organism in Eukaryota, Metazoa, Chordata, Chondrichthyes, Orectolobiformes, Rhincodontidae. The transcript has 3 exons.